GAUGAAGAACGUAGCGAAAUGCGAUAAGUAAUGUGAAUUGCAGAAUUCAGUGAAUCAUCGAAUCUUUGAACGCACAUUGCGCCCGCCAGUAUUCUGGCGGGCAUGCCUGUCUGAGCGUCAUUUCAACCCUCAUGCCCCUAGGGCGUGGUGUUGGGGAUCGGCCAAAGCCCGCGAGGGACGGCCGGCCCCUAAAUCUAGUGGCGGACCCGUCGUGGCCUCCUCUGCGAAGUAGUGAUAUUCCGCAUCGGAGAGCGAUGAGCCCCUGCCGUUAAACCCCCAACUUUCCAAGGUUGACCUCAGAUCAGGUAGGAAUACCCGCUGAACUUAAGCAUAUCAAUAAGAGGAAGA
RNAcentral lists this unclassified non-coding RNA (348 nucleotides) under soil metagenome. Its description in RNAcentral is "partial contains 5.8S ribosomal RNA, internal transcribed spacer 2, and large subunit ribosomal RNA". The stretch from base 1 to 120 matches the Rfam family "5.8S ribosomal RNA", at positions 35 to 154 of the family's 154-position model. The record is from RNAcentral.